This 107-nucleotide small nuclear RNA is filed under the name Myotis davidii. The record is from RNAcentral. Lineage: Eukaryota; Metazoa; Chordata; Mammalia; Chiroptera; Vespertilionidae.
AUGCUCACUUCAGCACCACAUACACUAAAAUUGUAAUGAUCCAGAAAAGAUUAGCAUGGCUCCUACGCAAGAAUGGCAUGCGAAUUCAUGAAGAAUCUAUACUUAGA